Molecule: long non-coding RNA, 557 nt
Organism: Zophobas morio
Lineage: Eukaryota; Metazoa; Arthropoda; Insecta; Coleoptera; Tenebrionidae
Exons: 3
Source: RefSeq, a predicted model, not a curated record
CCUUACUCCUGACAAAACUCACCGAUGAGUUUUGUCACUUCGUGACAUAUGUCACCGAGUUUUAGUGACAUCGUACUCUUGAUACGUGAGAAAAAACGUGUGUGAGUUCUAUCAUCAAGUGACUUAUUUUUAUGACUGACGUACUCCUGACAAGUGAGAAAUUUGUCACACACGAUAAAAGCCGUUCACAAAUCAGUGAGUGGCAACGAUCAGAAAAACAGUGGUGACUUUUGUACCAAAGCUUUUAUACAUGUGUUAAUAGUGUAAAUGGGAGUAUUCUUGUAAAUCAAAACAUUUUCAGAAGUACAUCUCAAGGCGGCAGCAAAUAAAAAAAAACCAUUUACCCAAUAUAAAAUGGAUGAACUUCACAUGGCCGAUAUUUUAGAAGAACUGGAAGAUGCUGAAGAAGAUAAUGCAAUUGUUCCAGCUUUACGGGUUACAAUUGAUCCGUUGGAGACAUUACCGGAAAAUCAAUUUGUUAAAAUCUUUAGGGUGUCAAAAAUUUUAUUUAGAUUUAUUGUGGGGUUACUUGCACCAUUUAUGCGUCCUCAAAAUCG